UGGGGAAUUGUUCACAAUGGGCGCAAGCCUGAUGACGCAACGCCGCGUGGGGGAUGAAGGUCUUCGGAUCGUAAACCCCUGUCGAAUGGGACGAAAGACUCGCGAGUGAAUACUUCGCGAGAGUGACGGUACCGUUAAAGGAAGCCACGGCUAACUCUGUGCCAGCAGCCGCGGUAAUACAGAGGUGGCAAGCGUUGUUCGGAAUUACUGGGCGUAAAGGGCGCGUAGGCGGCCCUCUAAGUCAGACGUGAAAUCCCCCGGCUUAACCUGGGAACUGCGUCUGAUACUGGAGGGCUUGAGUAUGGGAGAGGGAUGUAGAAUUCCAGGUGUAGCGGUGAAAUGCGUAGAUAUCUGGAGGAAUACCGGUGGCGAAGGCGGCAUCCUGGACCAUUACUGACGCUGAGACGCGAAAGCGUGGGGAGCAAACGGGAUUAGAUACCCCUGUAGUCCCUGAGCGGGCUGGCAAGGCGCAU
RNAcentral lists this ribosomal RNA (473 nucleotides) under uncultured bacterium. RNAcentral describes it as "bacterial SSU rRNA". It matches the Rfam family "Bacterial small subunit ribosomal RNA", at positions 355 to 825 of the family's 1533-position model. The record is from RNAcentral.